GAUCCUGCUCAGGAUGAACGCUAGCUACAGGCUUAACACAUGCAAGUCGAGGGGCAGCAUGUUGGUUGCUUGCAACCGAUGAUGGCGACCGGCGCACGGGUGAGUAACGCGUAUCCAACCUACCCUUGUCCAUCGGAUAACCCGUCGAAAGGCGGCCUAACACGAUAUGCGGUUCACAGCAGGCAUCUAACGUGAACGAAAUGUGAAGGAGAAGGAUGGGGAGUGCGU
This 228-nucleotide ribosomal RNA is filed under the name uncultured bacterium. RNAcentral describes it as "partial 16S ribosomal RNA". It matches the Rfam family "Bacterial small subunit ribosomal RNA", at positions 15 to 236 of the family's 1533-position model. The record is from RNAcentral.